Acanthosepion pharaonis is the source of this 114-nucleotide non-coding RNA. Lineage: Eukaryota; Metazoa; Mollusca; Cephalopoda; Sepiida; Sepiidae. The record is from the annotation of a GenBank genome assembly.
UUACGGUCAAAUCACGGUGAAACACCGGUUCUCGUUCGAUCACCGAAGUUAAGCAUCGUAGAGCCAGGUCAGUACUUAGAUGGGGGACCGCUUAGGAACACAUGGUACUGUAAG